GUGCUUGCUUUGACAACACAUAUACUAAAAUUGGGCAAUGCAGAGAAGAUCAGCAUGGUCUCUGCCCAAGGAUGACACAUUUGUGAAGUGUUCCAUAUUUUU
RNAcentral lists this small nuclear RNA (102 nucleotides) under Sciurus vulgaris (Eurasian red squirrel). The record is from RNAcentral. Lineage: Eukaryota; Metazoa; Chordata; Mammalia; Rodentia; Sciuridae.